Molecule: transfer RNA, 63 nt
Filed under: Hymenocera picta
Lineage: Eukaryota; Metazoa; Arthropoda; Malacostraca; Decapoda; Palaemonidae
Description: tRNA-His
Rfam family: tRNA
About the family: Transfer RNA (tRNA) molecules are approximately 80 nucleotides in length. Their secondary structure includes four short double-helical elements and three loops (D, anti-codon, and T loops). Further hydrogen bonds mediate the characteristic L-shaped molecular structure. tRNAs have two regions of fundamental functional importance: the anti-codon, which is responsible for specific mRNA codon recognition, and the 3' end, to which the tRNAs corresponding amino acid is attached (by aminoacyl-tRNA synthetases). tRNAs cope with the degeneracy of the genetic code in two manners: having more than one tRNA (with a specific anti-codon) for a particular amino acid; and 'wobble' base-pairing, i.e. permitting non-standard base-pairing at the 3rd anti-codon position.
Source: RNAcentral
GCUUUAGUAGUUUAAUUAAAAAUAUUGGUUUGUGGGGCCAAAGAUGUAUUAUUAUCUGAAGCA